RNAcentral lists this long non-coding RNA (220 nucleotides) under Linum usitatissimum (flax). RNAcentral's name for it is "long non-coding RNA (LUSI_LNC004018)". Lineage: Eukaryota; Viridiplantae; Streptophyta; Magnoliopsida; Malpighiales; Linaceae. The record is from RNAcentral.
AACGAGUUUAGAAUAGACUUAUGCACUUGGUGACUCGAUCUUGAUGCCUACCAACUUGUGAACAUUUAAUUCCCCUAUCGAGUCGCUCAAGUUGUUUAAAGUCAUAGUUGACUUGAUGGUCCGAAUAAGGUGCAAAAGAGAUCAAUGUGCCCAAAUUUUCAUGGGGGUUCGGUUGCGAUUCAACACACUGGCGACUUUGAGUCUGCCGCCUGUAAGCUAG